CCAGGGAAAUGAAGAAACUUCGCAAGCCUGAAUGCAUUCAAUGCGUGUUUUUGAUGAAAACUUGCACGUCAGUCAGAUCCCAAU
Molecule: small nucleolar RNA, 84 nt
Organism: Cryptomeria japonica (Japanese cedar)
Lineage: Eukaryota; Viridiplantae; Streptophyta; Pinopsida; Cupressales; Cupressaceae
Product: small nucleolar RNA Z122
Exons: 1
Source: RefSeq, a predicted model, not a curated record